Molecule: ribosomal RNA, 253 nt
Filed under: uncultured bacterium
Lineage: Bacteria
Description: partial 16S ribosomal RNA
Rfam family: Archaeal small subunit ribosomal RNA
Source: RNAcentral
UACCAGCUCCUCGAGUGGUCGGGACGAUUAUUGGGCCUAAAGCACCCGUAGCCGGUUCCGUAAGUCCUCUGUUAAAUCCAGUCGCUCAACGGCUGGCCUGCAGAGGAUACUGCGGGACUAGGAGGCGGGAGAGGCGGACGGUACUCCGCGUGUAGGGGUAAAAUCCUUUGAUCCGCGGAAGACCACCAGUGGCGAAGGCGGUCCGCCAGAACGCGCUCGACGGUGAGGGGUGAAAGCUGGGGGAGCGAACCGG